UGGCAUAACUAGUAAUUGACAUUAAUAGAUAAUGUUAAACAAAAUCAUACAACAUGAAAGCAUGGUAUUUCAUGUCCAUUUAACUUUGAUAAUAUAAGUGAUACAGUCCAAGGGUAUCGAUGAAAUGCAUAUUAACUUAAAGAAAGAUGUUCCUCCAAUUAAAAAUUAGACAUAGGGUAAAAUAAAGUCCAUGAUUUUAUUUUAAAUAUUAUCUUGGAUACAGUACACACAUGCAUACAUCUGGUUUUCAUUAUGGUUCCUCAUUCCCUCCAUUUUCGCUACCUCCUUUUUGUUCACCCCCACCUUGUGAACUUUUUCCACCACGAUUUCCUCCUGAACCUUGUUCACCAUUUUUUCUUCCUGCACCACCUUUUUCUCCAUAGUUUAUCCAUCCUCCCCCCCAUGGUUUCCAUGGAACUGUCUCAACUUUUGAUAUGACGUCUUUUGUUGCCCCAACUGCAAAUUAACAAACACUUUUUAUUAUUAAGUACAAUAAAAUAAGGAAAAUUUGUGCAUUCAAUUAAUAUACACAUACAUACACUGUUUCCCAUUUUUAGAUUGCUCAAUUUCUACAACAGAGAUAAACAUUAGUGUACAAAUAAAGAGUUCAAAGAUUAAAUGUUUGGUUUUCAUCCUUGAUUAAUUCAAUUAAGAGUAUAUUGUAGU
This 666-nucleotide long non-coding RNA is filed under the name Medicago truncatula (barrel medic). RNAcentral describes it as "lncRNA gene9501". Lineage: Eukaryota; Viridiplantae; Streptophyta; Magnoliopsida; Fabales; Fabaceae. The record is from RNAcentral.